This 492-nucleotide ribosomal RNA is filed under the name uncultured bacterium. Its description in RNAcentral is "partial 16S ribosomal RNA". It matches the Rfam family "Bacterial small subunit ribosomal RNA", at positions 29 to 507 of the family's 1533-position model. The record is from RNAcentral.
AGUGAACGCUGGCGGUAGGCCUAACACAUGCAAGUCGAACGGCAGCACAGUAAGAGCUUGCUCUUACGGGUGGCGAGUGGCGGACGGGUGAGGAAUACAUCGGAAUCUACUUUUUCGUGGGGGAUAACGUAGGGAAACUUACGCUAAUACCGCAUACGACCUACGGGUGAAAGCAGGGGAUCUUCGGACCUUGCGCGAUUGAAUGAGCCGAUGUCGGAUUAGCUAGUUGGCGGGGUAAAGGCCCACCAAGGCGACGAUCCGUAGCUGGUCUGAGAGGAUGAUCAGCCACACUGGAACUGAGACACGGUCCAGACUCCUACGGGGGGCAGCAGUGGGGAAUAUUGGACAAUGGGCGCAAGCCUGAUCCAGCCAUACCGCGUGGGUGAAGAGGGCCUUCGGGUUGUAAAGCCCUUUUGUUGGGAAAGAAAAGCAGCAGGUUAAUACCCCGCUGUUCUGACGGUACCCAAAGAAUAAGCACCGGCUAACUUCGUG